AGGGUUUUAGUUUAUUGAGAAUAUAUCGUUUACACCGAUGAGGUUAAUAACCCUU
RNAcentral lists this transfer RNA (55 nucleotides) under Strongyloides fuelleborni fuelleborni. RNAcentral describes it as "tRNA-Val". Lineage: Eukaryota; Metazoa; Nematoda; Chromadorea; Rhabditida; Strongyloididae. The record is from RNAcentral.